AUUGAACGCUGGCGGCAUGCCUUACACAUGCAAGUCGAACGGCAGCACGGGAGCAAUCCUGGUGGCGAGUGGCGAACGGGUGAGUAAAGUAUCGGAACGUGCCCAGUCGUGGGGGAUAACGUAGUGAAAGUUACGCUAAUACCGCAUACGAUCGAUGGAUGAAAGCGGGUGAUCGCAAGACCUGGCGCGCUUGGAGGGGCCGAAAUCAGGUUAGGUAGUUGGGGGGGUAAAGGCUCACCAAGCCGACGAUCUGUAACUGGUCUGAGAGGACGACCAGCCACACUGGGACUGAGACACGGCCCAGACUCCUACGGGAGGCAGCAGUGGGGAAUUUUGGACAAUGGGCGAAAGCCUGAUCCAGCCAUGCCGCGUGCAGGAUGAAGGCCUUCGGGUUGUAAACUGCUUUUGUACGGAACGAAAAGGUUUGGCCUAAUAAGCUGAGCUCAUGACGGUACCGUAAGAAUAAGCACCGGCUAACUACGUGCCAGCCGCCGCCGUAA
RNAcentral lists this ribosomal RNA (500 nucleotides) under uncultured bacterium. Its description in RNAcentral is "partial 16S ribosomal RNA". It matches the Rfam family "Bacterial small subunit ribosomal RNA", at positions 30 to 523 of the family's 1533-position model. The record is from RNAcentral.